GGGAAUGUGGCCUAGUGGUAGAGUGCUUGCCUGGCAUGCAUGAGGCCCUGGGUUCGAUUCCUCAGUACCA
Molecule: transfer RNA, 70 nt
Filed under: Dipodomys ordii (Ord's kangaroo rat)
Lineage: Eukaryota; Metazoa; Chordata; Mammalia; Rodentia; Heteromyidae
Rfam family: tRNA
About the family: Transfer RNA (tRNA) molecules are approximately 80 nucleotides in length. Their secondary structure includes four short double-helical elements and three loops (D, anti-codon, and T loops). Further hydrogen bonds mediate the characteristic L-shaped molecular structure. tRNAs have two regions of fundamental functional importance: the anti-codon, which is responsible for specific mRNA codon recognition, and the 3' end, to which the tRNAs corresponding amino acid is attached (by aminoacyl-tRNA synthetases). tRNAs cope with the degeneracy of the genetic code in two manners: having more than one tRNA (with a specific anti-codon) for a particular amino acid; and 'wobble' base-pairing, i.e. permitting non-standard base-pairing at the 3rd anti-codon position.
Source: Rfam by way of RNAcentral